RNAcentral lists this ribosomal RNA (253 nucleotides) under uncultured bacterium. RNAcentral describes it as "partial 16S ribosomal RNA". It matches the Rfam family "Bacterial small subunit ribosomal RNA", at positions 524 to 776 of the family's 1533-position model. The record is from RNAcentral.
GACGAACCGAGCGAACGUUGUUCGGAAUCACUGGGCGUAAAGGGCGCGUAGGCGGCCGAUCAAGUCGGGGGUGAAAGCCUGUGGCUCAACCACAGAAUUGCCUUCGAUACUGUUUGGCUUGAGACCGGAAGAGGUUAGUGGAACUGCGAGUGUAGAGGUGAAAUUCGUAGAUAUUCGCAAGAACACCAGUGGCGAAGGCGGCUGACUGGUCCGGUUCUGACGCUGAGGCGCGAAAGCGUGGGGAGCAAACAGG